GGACAGAAAGACCCUAUGAAGCUUGACUGUAUCCUGGAAUUGGGUUCGGGCUUUUCUUGCGCAGCCUAGGUGGGAGGCGUCGAAGAUUUCCUUCCGGGGAAGUUGGAGCCAACAGUGAGAGACCACUCUGGAGAGGCUAGAAUCCUAAUGGUGAUCCUUGGAUCAGGACACUUGACAGUUUCAGGUGGGCAGUUUUUCUGGGGCGGAAACCUCAUAAAAGGUAACUGAGGUGUGCAAAGGUCCCCUCAGUCUGGACGGAAAUCAGACAACGAGUGUAAAGGCAGAAGGGGGCUUGACUGCAAGACCUACAAGUCGAGCAGGAGCGAAAGCUGGCCUUAGUGAUCCGACGGUGCCGUGUGGAAGGGCCGUCGCUCA
This 375-nucleotide ribosomal RNA is filed under the name Flechtneria rotunda. RNAcentral's name for it is "bacterial LSU rRNA". It matches the Rfam family "Bacterial large subunit ribosomal RNA", at positions 2078 to 2451 of the family's 2925-position model. The record is from RNAcentral. Lineage: Eukaryota; Viridiplantae; Chlorophyta; Chlorophyceae; Sphaeropleales; Scenedesmaceae.